CCUACGGGGCGCAGCAGUGGGGGAUAUUGCACAAUGGGGAAAACCCUGAUGCAGCGACGCCGCGUGAGCGAUGAAGUAUUUCGGUAUGUAAAGCUCUAUCAGCAGGGAAGAAAAUGACGGUACCUGACUAAGAAGCCCCGGCUAACUACGUGCCAGCAGCCGCGGUAAUACGUAGGGGGCAAGCGUUAUCCGGAUUUACUGGGUGUAAAGGGAGCGUAGACGGCAGUGCAAGUCUGAAGUGAAAGGCAAGGGAUAAACCCUUGGACUGCUUUGGCAACUGUGCUGCUGGAGUGUCGGAGACGCAA
This 305-nucleotide ribosomal RNA is filed under the name uncultured bacterium. Its description in RNAcentral is "bacterial SSU rRNA". It matches the Rfam family "Bacterial small subunit ribosomal RNA", at positions 338 to 660 of the family's 1533-position model. The record is from RNAcentral.